RNAcentral lists this ribosomal RNA (700 nucleotides) under uncultured bacterium. Its description in RNAcentral is "bacterial SSU rRNA". It matches the Rfam family "Bacterial small subunit ribosomal RNA", at positions 43 to 752 of the family's 1533-position model. The record is from RNAcentral.
GGGGCCAUAGGCAUGCAGUCGAACGGACUUAACAUUAGUUUACUAUNUGGAGCGGUUAGUGGCGGACUGGUGAGUAACACGUAAGCAACCUGCCUAUCAGAGGGGAACAACAGUUAGAAAUGACUGCUAAUACCGCAUAUGCCUUGAGUAUCACAUGGUACAAAAGGGAAAGGAGUAAUCCGCUGAUAGAUGGGCUUGCGUCUGAUUAGAUAGUUGGUGGGGUAACGGCUUACCAAGGCGACGAUCAGUAGCCGGACUGAGAGGUUGAACGGCCACAUUGGGACUGAGAUACGGCCCAGACUCCUACGGGAGGCAGCAGUCGGGAAUAUUGCGCAAUGGAGGAAACUCUGACGCAGUGACGCCGCGUAUGGGAAGAAGGUUUUCGGAUUGUAAACCAUUGUCGUUAGGGAAGAAAAAAGACAGUACCUAAGGAGGAAGCCCCGGCUAACUAUGUGCCAGCAGCCGCGGUAAUACAUAGGGGGCAAGCGUUAUCCGGAAUUAUUGGGUGUAAAGGGUGCGUAGACGGGUGUUUAAGUUGGUUGUGAAAUCCCUCGGCUCAACUGAGGAACUGCAACCAAAACUGGAUAUCUUGAGUGUCGGAGAGGAAAGUGGAAUUCCUAGUGUAGCGGUGAAAUGCGUAGAUAUUAGGAGGAACACCAGUGGCGAAGGCGACUUUCUGGACGAUAACUGACGUUGAGGC